GGCGCUGUAGUGUAGCGGUUAUCACUCGAGAUUCUGAUUCUCGUAACCCAGGUUCGAGUCCUGGCAGUGCCU
RNAcentral lists this transfer RNA (72 nucleotides) under Sphagnurus paluster. RNAcentral describes it as "Tephrocybe palustris tRNA". It matches the Rfam family "tRNA". From Rfam's summary of the family: Transfer RNA (tRNA) molecules are approximately 80 nucleotides in length. RNAcentral also lists the same sequence under 3 other names. Lineage: Eukaryota; Fungi; Basidiomycota; Agaricomycetes; Agaricales; Lyophyllaceae. The record is from Rfam by way of RNAcentral.